Molecule: long non-coding RNA, 582 nt
Organism: Malurus melanocephalus (red-backed fairy wren)
Lineage: Eukaryota; Metazoa; Chordata; Aves; Passeriformes; Maluridae
Exons: 3
Source: RefSeq, a predicted model, not a curated record
AGGCUAUUCUGAGGGUGAAAGGGAUCCUCAAAUUUGACUCAACUGACCAUGCCAUUUGGGGAYUGAAUUCACAACCUUGGCUUUAUUAGCACUGCACUACAAUCACCUGAGCCGGUCUCAGGGUCAUAGGGAUGACCUUUCCUAGCUCGUGAAUGGAUGCUGCCAGCAAGGAUCUACCCAACAGCUAUGAACAAGGAGCAACGUCCUUUCCAGGGAGAAAUGAGCAAAACAAGUGCUGAGGCUACAAUUGGUCCGUGGCAAAAGUUCUGGAGAGCGUCAGGGCUGGUCCCGCCUGCAGAGGGGCGUUUCCUGCAGGGGAGAGCUGUGCCUGCCAUGUCCUGCUCGUGGCAUCCAGCAUGCAAAACGCACAUCCCAGGGAUGGGCACAGGGAUGCCCGGACAGCGCUCGGAUGGACAUGGAUUAAGGUCUGCUCAUGGCUCCGCAGCCAUGGGCUGCUCUGAACAGGAACCUGGAGAUGCUUCACCCCAGAGAGAGCCCAACAACACUCCAAAAAUAUCCCAGGCAACAGCUGGCACCCGGCAAUGCCGGCACGUUGUGUUUGUGGAGGGGCUGAGACAGCGA